RNAcentral lists this ribosomal RNA (262 nucleotides) under Mantidactylus catalai. RNAcentral describes it as "partial 16S ribosomal RNA". The record is from RNAcentral. Lineage: Eukaryota; Metazoa; Chordata; Amphibia; Anura; Mantellidae.
GAAGACCCCAUGGAGCUUUAAACCCAAUUAUAUCUCUAACCACUAUAACCAUUUAACCGCUUAGAACUUAUAUACUUGGUUUUAGGUUGGGGCGACCACGGAGCACAACCAAACCUCCACGAUGAACGGAACAACCCCCUUAUCUGAGAAUUACACUUCUAAGAAUUAGCACACUAACAUAAAAUGACCCAUUAUUGAUCAACGAACCAAGUUACCCUGGGGAUAACAGCGCAAUCCAUUUUAAGAGCCCCUAUCGACAAAU